ACUUGGCUGGUUCAGUUGGUAGAACAUCAGACUCUUGAUCUCAGUGUCAUGAGUUUAAGCCCCAUGUUGGGCA
Molecule: transfer RNA, 73 nt
Filed under: Ailuropoda melanoleuca (giant panda)
Lineage: Eukaryota; Metazoa; Chordata; Mammalia; Carnivora; Ursidae
Rfam family: tRNA
About the family: Transfer RNA (tRNA) molecules are approximately 80 nucleotides in length. Their secondary structure includes four short double-helical elements and three loops (D, anti-codon, and T loops). Further hydrogen bonds mediate the characteristic L-shaped molecular structure. tRNAs have two regions of fundamental functional importance: the anti-codon, which is responsible for specific mRNA codon recognition, and the 3' end, to which the tRNAs corresponding amino acid is attached (by aminoacyl-tRNA synthetases). tRNAs cope with the degeneracy of the genetic code in two manners: having more than one tRNA (with a specific anti-codon) for a particular amino acid; and 'wobble' base-pairing, i.e. permitting non-standard base-pairing at the 3rd anti-codon position.
Source: Rfam by way of RNAcentral